CGCGGUGAAUACGUUCCCGGGCCUUGUACACACCGCCCGUCAAACAGUGGAAGUUGGGGGUAUCUAAAGUCGGUAGCCGCAAGGCGCCGCCUAGGGUAAAACUGAUAACUGGUGUU
RNAcentral lists this ribosomal RNA (116 nucleotides) under uncultured bacterium. RNAcentral describes it as "partial 16S ribosomal RNA". It matches the Rfam family "Bacterial small subunit ribosomal RNA", at positions 1358 to 1482 of the family's 1533-position model. The record is from RNAcentral.